Molecule: non-coding RNA, 91 nt
Organism: Cordylochernes scorpioides
Lineage: Eukaryota; Metazoa; Arthropoda; Arachnida; Pseudoscorpiones; Chernetidae
Source: the annotation of a GenBank genome assembly
GUCAGAUUGGCCGAGUGGUCAAGACGCCAGACUUAAGUUCUGACCCCAGAGAGAAGGCGUGGGUUCGAACCCCACAUGUGUUGCGAAGGCA